ACGAAACACUUACCACCAACAACCAGAAACCACUCAGUACUCAAAUCUUUGAAGGAACAAUAGUCACUUCUUGUCUUUCCCCUAAUUGAGAAAUAUGAACACUGUUAAUGGCGUUAAACAUAAUCAAAUUUCCCCACAAUGCAAAAUGGGAAAGAAAACCAUUUGAUAGCUUACCUAUUCUAAACGAAUCGAAGAACCCCAAAAGUAGAACAACGACAACAUGUACGACGACUAGAAUUGAAGAAGAACAGAAGAGACAAAAAAAAGAGAAAGAAGAACAAGAACAAUAAAAACGUCAGAGGAAAAAAAGAAAAUGAAUUUUUGGAAAAUAAAAGAAUUAAAAUUAAAUUUAAGUCUACCAAAAUCCUAACUCCCGAAAACCCCACUAACUACCAAUCCUACUAAAUUUGACCACUAAGCUCAUGAAACUAACUCAGAAUUCCAACUCCACCAAAAC
This 457-nucleotide long non-coding RNA is filed under the name Gossypium raimondii (Peruvian cotton). RNAcentral describes it as "long non-coding RNA (GRAI_LNC009143)". The record is from RNAcentral. Lineage: Eukaryota; Viridiplantae; Streptophyta; Magnoliopsida; Malvales; Malvaceae.